This 254-nucleotide ribosomal RNA is filed under the name uncultured bacterium. Its description in RNAcentral is "partial 16S ribosomal RNA". The record is from RNAcentral.
GCUAGAUACCAGCAUACGGUCCGUACGGAGAGAAGAAAGCAGAGGAGAUCGUUCGGAGACCGUUAGCGCGUAAAUAGAUAGAGCCGUAAGUCAGGAUUAAGCUUAGUUAGGUAGGGGUAAAGGCCGUACCAAGGCGACAGAAUCUAGUAAUCAGAGGUCUUAGANGAGAGAUUUGAAUCCGAGCCCGAACGAACUAGAGAGACUAGAAGACAACAAGGCCUCAUGAACUUCGCUAACGGGAGAAGNGCAGCAAG